GGAUCUGCACAACCAGUGGAGCAUGUGGUUUAAUUCGAGACAAACCGAAGAACCUUACCCGGGUUUGACAUGGUACCCUUUAGAUUGCCGGAGACGGUGAUUAAUUCCUAAGCAAUUAGGAAAGGUAUCACAGGUGCUGCAUGGCUGUCGUCAGCUCGUGCCGUGGGGUGUUCCCUUCAGUGGGGUAACGAGCGCAACCCCUGCCCCGAUUUAAAUAUCAUCGGGGGACUCUCUGAUUUUAUAUCGGAGGGAAGUGGGGACGACGUCAAGUCAGCAUGGCCCUUAUGUCCGGGGCAACACACAUGCUACAAUGGCGCCUAACAAUGGGUGGCCAAGCCGUAAGGCGGAGCUAAUCCCAUCAAACGGCGUCUCAGUGGGGAUUGAGGGCUGAAACUCGCCCUCAUGAACGCGGAAUUGGUAGUAAUCGGAGAUCAGCCAAGCUCCGGUGAAUACGUUCUCAGGUCUU
RNAcentral lists this ribosomal RNA (466 nucleotides) under uncultured bacterium. Its description in RNAcentral is "bacterial SSU rRNA". It matches the Rfam family "Bacterial small subunit ribosomal RNA", at positions 917 to 1382 of the family's 1533-position model. The record is from RNAcentral.